Molecule: transfer RNA, 76 nt
Filed under: Lachnospiraceae bacterium
Lineage: Bacteria; Bacillati; Bacillota; Clostridia; Lachnospirales; Lachnospiraceae
Description: tRNA-Arg
Rfam family: tRNA
About the family: Transfer RNA (tRNA) molecules are approximately 80 nucleotides in length.
Source: RNAcentral
GUCCGUGUAGCUCAGCAGGAUAGAGCACCGCCCUCCUAAGGCGGGUUUUGCGGGGGUUCGAAUCCCUUCACGGACG